AACGGAUCUCUUGGUUCUGGCAUCGAUGAAGAACGCAGCAAAAUGCGAUAAGUAAUGUGAAUUGCAGAAUUCAGUGAAUCAUCGAAUCUUUGAACGCACAUUGCGCCCGCCAGUAUUCUGGCGGGCAUGCCUGUUCGAGCGUCAUUUCAAC
RNAcentral lists this ribosomal RNA (151 nucleotides) under Fusarium fujikuroi. RNAcentral's name for it is "5.8S ribosomal RNA". It matches the Rfam family "5.8S ribosomal RNA". From Rfam's summary of the family: 5.8S ribosomal RNA (5.8S rRNA) is a component of the large subunit of the eukaryotic ribosome. It is transcribed by RNA polymerase I as part of the 45S precursor that also contains 18S and 28S rRNA. Functionally, it is thought that 5.8S rRNA may be involved in ribosome translocation. Lineage: Eukaryota; Fungi; Ascomycota; Sordariomycetes; Hypocreales; Nectriaceae. The record is from RNAcentral.